Molecule: long non-coding RNA, 203 nt
Filed under: Elaeis guineensis (African oil palm)
Lineage: Eukaryota; Viridiplantae; Streptophyta; Magnoliopsida; Arecales; Arecaceae
Description: long non-coding RNA (EGUI_LNC062205)
Source: RNAcentral
GUGGCGUGAAGAGGAGAGUCCAACUCAAUUUGGACUCUAGGUUUUUAUUCAAAUUCAAACCAAUUUGAACUCAAAUUUAAAUCAAUCAAUUUUUAAUUCAAAAAGACUUAGAUGAAAAUAUGGAAAAAGCUUCUAGAUAUGAGAAAAAAUUAUAUAAAAUAUUUUUCAUGUGAAGAAUAAGAGGUUGCAGAUAAAGGAGGUAU